AGAGCGAACGCUGGCGGCAGGCUUAACACAUGCAAGUCGAGCGGGCGUAGCAAUACGUCAGCGGCAGACGGGUGAGUAACGCGUGGGAACAUACCUUUUGGUUCGGAACAACACAGGGAAACUUGUGCUAAUACCGGAUAAGCCCUUACGGGGAAAGAUUUAUCGCCGAAAGAUUGGCCCGCGUCUGAUUAGCUAGUUGGUGAGGUAACGGCUCACCAAGGCGACGAUCAGUAGCUGGUCUGAGAGGAUGAUCAGCCACAUUGGGACUGAGACACGGCCCAAACUCCUACGGGAGGCAGCAGUGGGAAUAUUGGACAAUGGGCGCAAGCCUGAUCCAGCCAUGCCGCGUGAGUGAUGAAGGCCCUAGGGUUGUAAAGCUCUUUUGUGCGGGAAGAUAAUGACGGUACCGCAAGAAUAAGCCCCGGCUAACUUCGCGCCAGCAGUCGC
Molecule: ribosomal RNA, 447 nt
Filed under: uncultured bacterium
Lineage: Bacteria
Description: SSU rRNA
Rfam family: Bacterial small subunit ribosomal RNA
Source: RNAcentral